CAAUAAACAAACGGCCCUCUUAUAUGUACAGCCACUGUGGGAAACUCUUUUCUCGGUUUUCAGAAUUCUAAGUAGAUCCCUGCUUUAGCCUUAGGGUUCGUCGACAGAGAGCGAGCUUUACCCGACCAAAGGGGAAGAUACUCGGUCGCUAGAAAGAGUGGAGAAUUGCAGGCUUCGGUGGAAAUGGCGAAUAACCCUCAAUCUUCUGCCACACCGCCACUUCGGCCACCGCCUAUUGUCGGAUCCGCUGGUCCUCCUCAAAAUUUUGCUCCACCCAUGUCUAUGCAAUUCCGUCCUAUGAUGUCAGUGCAGCAACAAGGGCAAAUGUAUAUGCCGGCGGGUUCGCAACAAUUUAGGCCUGUUGGGCAAGGUAUUCCUACUUCAAAUGUUGGGAUGCCACCUUCCGCUCAAGGUCAGCAGCUUCAGUAUUCUCAACCAAUUCAGCAGUUGCCUCCGAGGCCUGGGCAGCCUGGUCACAGUAUGCUUACUUCAUCACAGACGGUUCAGAUGCCCUAUCCGCAGCCAAACAUGCCUUCUUUUUCAUCUGGGUCACCACAGCCUCAGCAAAACGCACAGCCUAUGGCUAAUCCUAUGGGAGUACCUGGUAGCAUGGGAAUGCCACUUUUGCCAUCAUAUACUUUUACUACAUCUUAUGGCCAGCCACAAAGCAAUGUUAAUCACUCGAAUCAGUACCAGCCAAUUUCUCAGAUGCAUGCACCUAACAUACCAACUAGUGCUGGGGGACAAUCUUGGCUGUCUUCUGCAAGCCAGUGUGUGCCCCUUGUUACACCGAUUCAGCAAGCCACUCAACAACAGCCUGUGGUAACAUCUGCCUCUGUUCUGGCAACAAAUUCUCAACCUAACUCCAGUCAACAGUCUUCAUCAGAUUGGCAAGAACAUACAUCUGCUGAUGGGAGAAGAUAUUAUUACAACAAGAAGACAAGAGUGUCUAGUUGGGAGAAGCCUUUAGAAUUAAUGACACCUGUUGAGAGGGCAGAUGCGUCCACUGUCUGGAAGGAAUUUACAACUCAAGAGGGCAGGAAGUAUUACUACAACAAGGUCACUAAGUUAUCAAAAUGGACAAUCCCUGAUGAACUGAGGUUGGCUCGGGAACAGGCUGAAAAGGCUGCUAGUCAGGGUCUACAGUCUGACACUACUGUGACUCCUGACUCCUCAUCUGCUGUUGCUGUCACCUUAGUUGAUACACCAUCUUCUGUGGGGAUUUCAAUUGGCUCUUCCUCAACUGUUGCAAUUUCAGGGGUGGCAUCAAGCCCAGUUCCAGUGACACCUGUUGUUUCUAUAAGCCCACCCCCUGUUGUGACGUCUGGAAUGCCUGCUAUUGUUGCUAUUCCUUCUGCUGUUGCAUCAAAUGCAGUUGGGGUUCCCUCUCCUGCAGCAGCUCUUUCUCCCUUACAAUCUACUGUUUCAGGGGGUGCUGUGGUUCCCGUUGCUUUGGACAAUGCCACUACUACAACGACCAACUUUGAGAAUGUAUCUCAAGGUGUUGCAACUUCUAUUGAUGGGGCUUCUGCUCAGGAUUUGGAGGAAGCCAAAAAGGGCAUGGCGGUUGCUGGCAAGACCAAUGUUACUCCACUAGAGGAGAAAACUGUUGAUGAAGAACCGUUGGUUUAUGCUAAUAAGCAGGAGGCAAAGAAUGCUUUCAAAGCUCUCUUGGAAUCUGCAAAUGUUGAGUAUGACUGGACUUGGGAACAGGCUAUGAGAGUGAUAAUUAAUGACAAAAGAUAUGGUGCUCUGAAAUCACUUGGGGAGCGAAAGCAAGCUUUUAAUGAGUACCUGGGCCAAAGGAAAAAGCAGGAGGCUGAGGAGAGACGCAUUAGACAGAAGAGAGCAAGGGAGGAAUUCACAAAAAUGUUAGAAGAAUCAAAAGAGCUCACAUCAUCAACAAGAUGGAGCAAAGCUAUAAGCAUGUUUGAGGAUGAUGAGCGGUUCAAGGCUGUGGAGCGAGCCAGGGACCGUGAGGAUCUUUUUGAAAACUAUCUGGUGGAACUGGAGAAAAAGGAACGUGCAAAAGCUCAGGAGGAGCAUAAGCGUAAUAUAAUGGAGUACAGGCAAUUUCUGGAAUCCUGUGACUUUAUUAAGGCAAACAGUCAAUGGAGGAAAGUUCAAGAUCGCCUGGAGGAUGAUGAAAGAUGUUCUCGUCUUGAAAAGAUAGAUCGCUUGGAAAUCUUCCAGGAAUAUUUACGUGACUUAGAAAAGGAAGAUGAGGAGCAUAGGAAGAUUGAGAAGGAGCAACAGAGACGGGCUGAGAGAAAAAAUCGUGAUGAGUUCCGUAAGUUGAUGGAAGAACAUGUUGCCGAAGGGAUGCUUGCAGCUAAAACUCAUUGGCGUGACUAUUUUAUGAAGGUUAAAGAAUUGCCUGCGUUUAUAGCAGUAUCAAAAAACACCUCUGGUUCUACACCAAAAGAUCUGUUUGAGGAUGUUGUCGAGGAAUUAGAGAACCAGUAUCAUGACGACAAGACUCGAAUAAAGGACGGAAUGAAGUUAGAAAAGAUAAAUAUGGCAUCAUCAUGGACUUUUGAAGACUUUAAGGCUUCUAUUAUUGAGGUUGUUGGCUCUCCCACCAUAUCAGAUAUCAACUUAAAGCUUGUAUACGAGGAGUUAAUCGAAAGGAUUAAGGAGAAGGAGGAAAAGGAAGCCAAAAAGCGUCAACACUUGGCAGAUGAUUUCACUGAUAUAUUACACUCUAUCAAGGAAAUAACUGCAUCGUCGAAAUGGGAGGACUCCAAAUCACUUUUUGAAGAUAGUCAAGAGUAUAGAGCAAUUGGGGAAGAGAACUUCAGAAGGGAGGUCUUUGAGGAGUAUGUCACACAUUUGCAAGAAAAGGCAAAAGAGAAAGAGCGCAAGAGAGAGGAAGAAAAGGCGAAAAAAGAAAAAGAGAGAGAGGAGAAAGAGAAGAGGAAGGAUAAAGAGAGAAAGGAAAAAGAGAGAGAACGUGAAAGGGACAAGGUAAAGGAAAGAUCCAAGAAGGACGAAAUGGAGAGUGAAAAUGUUGAUGUAACUGGCAAUUAUGUCUCCAAAGAAGAAAAAAAGAGGGAGAAAGACAAGGACAGGAAACACCGGAAGCGGCAUCAUAGUGCAGCAGAUGAUGUUAGCUCUGAUAAGGAUGAGAAAGAAGAGUCUAAAAAGUCGCGUAGGCAUAGCAGUGACAGGAAAAAAUCGAGGAAGCAUGCAUACUCUCCUGAAUCAGAUGGUGGAAGCAGGCACAAGAGACAUAAGAGAGAUCACAGGGAUAGUUCCCGUAGAAAUGGUGGUUAUGAGGAGCUUGAAGAUGGGGAGCUUGGAGAGGAUGGGGAAAUCCGAUCACGUGGACACACCAAAAACGAUGAUUAAAGAUGCAUAAAAGUAGGAUUCUGAAGGGCUGUAGCAGACAUAGGGCACAAAGCAGUUCAUUUUAACAACCACGAAGCCUGGGUUUUUAUCACAACCACUUUGCUUUGUUUAGUUCAGAACCUCAGGACACAGUGAGUGAGUUGAGUUGUAAAAUAUUGUAGUCUGCUGUGCAUGAUGCUGGAGGCCUGGAGCUCUGAGUUGUGGUUUGCAUGCUAAUAGUGGUACAUCAUCAGUUCCAAAGAGCAUCUUACUGGACAACAUUAUUCUUUCCCUUAGAACAACAAUGGGCUUAAAGAAUUUCUUAAUUUUUGUGAUUUUGACCUCAAAACAUAUGUUAAAGGUUUUGGCCUUAAUAUAUAUAUAUAUAUAUAUAUAUAUACUUUUUUCACAGUAAUUUGUGAAUACAAGUUAGUAGUACAAAUAUUUUUUAGAUUUGGACUAAUUUAGUGAUUGUUUUGAACUUUGAUGGGGAAAAAAAUUAUUCAUUGCCAAAUCUGUUAUUAACCAGAAGAAAAUAAAAUAUAAGCUGUGCAAAUCUUGCCAUGAUACGUGCUUUAUGUGAGUACCUGAACUCACACCCUGGGCAGACUUUCAUUUGCAGUUCAAGCCAUCCGUGUUAAGACUACAGUGUUUUUUGUUCACUGGGUCUAGAUUUUCUGCCCUCCUUCCUUGCCAUGCGUUGCUGAGUUUGGGAUGUUUAUUGCCGGUUUUUUUUACCAUUGUUUUCCUCAAGUACUGAUUGGAGAAACGCAGGUAGAAGGACAUUCUUUGUGGUUUCAAAAUGUACUUAGCUAAGCCUUUUUCCUAAUGAAGUAGGGAUAACUAUACGAAUUCAGUUUUGCUAUUAUACUAAGUAAAGUAUUGAACUUUUUACCAAAAAAAAUAAAGUGUUCAACUCUAGAGCAAUGUUGCCUACAGGAAAGGCAUUCAACUCUAUUAGAUCAAUGUUACCUACAGCAAAUUAUGAUGGUUUAAAAUUAAUGUGUCUAAAACCCAUUGCUUUUAGGACCAUUAAACUGGGUAACUGGAUUGGGGUUUUACUGCUUGUAUUGUUGACUGAAAGGUCUCCAAUGGUAAAAAUGGUAUUAAAGGAAUAUAUAUAUAUAUAUAUAUAUAUGGGCCAACUGUGGGACUAUACGAAGUAUUGCCCCUAGUACCUAUCAGAUACCGAAUGCUUUUUUUUUUUCUUAGAACAGAAAGAUAUUUGAUUUCAGGAGUGGAACCAGCAGUAGGGAAGACUGAGGUAGUUUUCUGGUGCUUUAUUAAUUUAUUAUUGGAAAAAGGUUGGGUAUGCCAGUGGGUACUUAGGAAUAAAGUAUGCUAGUGUUUAUUCAUCCAACGAUCUCAUCCGUUUGAACCCAUUGUUUUACAUAACUUGCCUACCACUGCCACCCUAUAGUCCCUCUUCUUCUCCCCUUCCGGCUCCUGCUUCCUUCCACAAAUUCCGUUAAUAUUUUUUGCUUAGUUUAUCCUAUUUGGCGGGCACAAUCCAGACGUUGUAUCAUAAUUGUCAUUUUUCUGUCCAAUAUUGCUAUUGCUUGUCGGCAUCUGCAACUUCACAUAAAAGAACCUGGAUAGAGUUCUUUCUCCACCACAAAUAGAUCUAGAUUCUUCAAAGCUUUUAGACUCAAUUUUGGGAACGGUUUUCCUGCAGCAAGUUAGGAAGAAUCCUAUAAAUUGAAAACAGAAAGAAAAACCAUGUUUGAUUACUUAUCAGAUUAAAUGCAUCGUCAAUAAAAUAAACCCCUUUAUUUUGAUUGCUGAUAGUUAGUAGGAAUGCAGUUCAGAAGGUGAAGGAAAACAGAGAUUUGAAGAGGCCCAGCCAGUGGCUUCCUCUUGAAUGUAUCUGUUAACUGUUAACCAGUGUAUGGGCGAAAGAACUAUGUAGAAAACAGAAAUUUGAAGAGUUGGAAGUUGAAAUAAGGUUUCAACAUUCAAGUAGAAAACAUUGAACAGAAAAUUAAACUGACUAAGCUUGAAUUGGAAUACGAUAUUGGAGUUUAUUGGGGCAGAAUCUUGACUAACAGAAUACUGUUUAAACCAAGCAAAUCAGAUAUAAAAUAAUUUAGAAGACAGAAACCGCAGUAUAGAAGGAAGCUUAGAAACUUGCUUGAUGAGAGAAGGGGCUGAGGGGAGGAGAAGGUGCGAGCGAGAGUGAGGGAGAAAGAGAGGUCUGGUUCCGAGAGGGAGAGGGCCAUUGAAAAGCAAAACCAGAGGUCGUCUCAGGCAGCUCGGGAUGGUUGCAGGGGUGGGGUAGAGAUAAGGUGUAGCAGCGGUGGAUUGAUGGUUUGGAUUUUUUCCCUUCAUCCAACGGUUUUAUUUAAGAUGAUCAAAUUCUAUGGUUUUAUUUAAGAUGAUCAAAUCUUACGAUUAAAAUCCCACUAGCACAUGAGAUUCCAAGGUAACCCGCUAGUAUACCUAUAUCUCUUCCUUUAUUAUUGAGAUUCUUAAGUUCCAAAUGGUAUGAUGUGAAUAGGUCUGAUUGGAGGGCGAGGAUUAUGUAGCCAAUUCCAUUUAGUUGAGAUAAGGUUGAGUUUGUUUAAGUUCAAAAUUAUUUUCCAAUGUGUGCAUUAGCAGUAGGGUAUGGAACUAUUCAUGCUAUUGUUUCUAUGUUGUUUAUUUAUUUAUUUUUUUUUUCUGGGUGACGGCUAUUGUUUCUAUUGGCUCGGAUUGAUUGCAAGAAAAGCAAGUUUUCACUUUAUUACUAUCAUUGGAGAAGAUGGUUUAUGUUUGGAAACAGUAAAAUUGGUAGAUUCUUUAAGCAAAAAGAAUACAGCGGGUGAAUGUCUAGUCUCCUUACAUAUGUUCGUGACUGCUAAUAUUUCGUUUUAUUGCAAUAAAUUUCUUUGUAAAAUGAUUAAAAAAUAAAAAUAAGAAACAAAGGGAAUCUUCACCUUGUGUAAGGACUUAUUUUUCAAAGCAAAGGGGGGAAAGUACCUCCUGGUC
This is an RNA transcript of Macadamia integrifolia, 6297 nucleotides long. It is a transcript of the gene named pre-mRNA-processing protein 40A-like, with no coding region annotated. The transcript has 32 exons. NCBI's taxonomy places the organism in Eukaryota, Viridiplantae, Streptophyta, Magnoliopsida, Proteales, Proteaceae. The record is from RefSeq and is a predicted model, not a curated record.